RNAcentral lists this ribosomal RNA (253 nucleotides) under uncultured bacterium. RNAcentral's name for it is "partial 16S ribosomal RNA". It matches the Rfam family "Bacterial small subunit ribosomal RNA", at positions 524 to 776 of the family's 1533-position model. The record is from RNAcentral.
UACGGAGGGUGCGAGCGUUAAUCGGAAUAACUGGGCGUAAAGGGCACGCAGGCGGGCUUUUAAGUGAGAUGUGAAAUCCCCGGGCUUAACCUGGGAAUUGCAUUUCAGACUGGUAGGCUAGAGUAUUGUAGGGGGGGGUAGAAUUCCACGUGUAGCGGUGAAAUGCGUAGAGAUGUGGAGGAAUACCGAUGGCGAAGGCAGCCCCCUGGACAUGUACUGACGCUCAGGUGCGAAAGCGUGGGGAGCAAACAGG